Molecule: ribosomal RNA, 459 nt
Filed under: uncultured bacterium
Lineage: Bacteria
Description: partial 16S ribosomal RNA
Rfam family: Bacterial small subunit ribosomal RNA
Source: RNAcentral
CCUACGGGAGGCAGCAGUGAGGAAUAUUGGUCAAUGGCCGGAAGGCUGAACCAGCCAAGCCGCGUGAAGGACGAAGGUGCCAAGCAUUGUAAACUUCUUUUGUCAAGGGACAAAAUCAGGCUCGAGCGCCUGACUGAGGGUACUUGAAGAAAAAGCCUCGGCUAACUCUGUGCCAGCAGCCGCGAUGAUACGUGGGAUGCGAGGGUUAUCGGGAGUUAUUGGGUUUAGAGGGUGCGUAGGGGGACUGUUGAGACAGCGGAAAAAGCCCGGGGCUAAACCCCGGCGAGCCGUUGAAAAUGGCAGACUUGAGGUGACGAGAGGUAUGCGGAAUGCGCAGUGUAGCGGUGGAAUGCUUAGAUAUUACGAAGAACACCGGUGGCGAAGGCAGCAUACCGGCGGCGAUCUGACGCUGAGGCACGAAAGCGUGGGUAUCGAACAGGAUUAGAUACCCGAGUAGUC